AUGGAAACGGAUAGAGUCAACGUAUCUAGCUUGUAUUCAGCUGCCGUCCGUCGGCCCGGCUUGUCAAACAAACCCGCUUCUGGUUGGUUGGCGAGUUUGGAUUGGCGGGUGGUAGUGCAUUUGCAAGUGGAGUGCGCUGAGAGGUGUGGUUUAGCGAUUGGAUACUCGCUUUGAGGGCACUUCUUCGGAAGUGAAUCCCUGGCGGAUGGAAAAUUGUUUAUUCUGUACUCUUCGAGGGCAAUGGCCUACGAGUUUUGGCGCCAUCACGGCUAUCACUGGCGUCGGUCACAUGUGACACGUGCCUGUUGUUGUCGCGCUGUGGUGUUGGAAUUCUCUUUGCCCAUCUCGGUGUAAAAGUUGGUCAUCUAUCCGACCCGUCUUGAAACACGGACCAAGGAGUUUAGCGUAUACGCGAGUCAUUGAGUGUUGAAAACUCAAAGGCGUAAUGAAAGUGAAUUGUAAAUGAUAUGCGAUCUAUAGCACUGCGGUGUAUUAGAGCAGCAUAGCCCCGUUCCAAUUGCAUGCAAUGGGGCGGAGGUA
RNAcentral lists this ribosomal RNA (540 nucleotides) under Tylenchus sp. 1 MP-2014. RNAcentral's name for it is "eukaryotic LSU rRNA". It matches the Rfam family "Eukaryotic large subunit ribosomal RNA", at positions 413 to 797 of the family's 3401-position model. Lineage: Eukaryota; Metazoa; Nematoda; Chromadorea; Rhabditida; Tylenchidae. The record is from RNAcentral.